UAAAUGAUGAUUACCUUAAAUACCUUUUGCGGUUUCCACCAGAAAGCCUCGGCUUAAUGAUGGGCUUAGGUGUCUGAUU
RNAcentral lists this small nucleolar RNA (79 nucleotides) under Drosophila persimilis. RNAcentral describes it as "snoRNA:GL27998". RNAcentral also lists the same sequence under 1 other name. The record is from RNAcentral. Lineage: Eukaryota; Metazoa; Arthropoda; Insecta; Diptera; Drosophilidae.